CAGGGAUUGCCUUAGUAACGGCGAGUGAAGCGGCAAUAGCUCAAAUUUGAAAUCUGGCACUUGUGUCCGAGUUGUAAUUUGCAGAAGAUGAUUUUGGUUAGGUACCUUCCGAGUUCCUUGGAACAGGACGCCUUAGAGGGUGAGAGCCCCGUACGGUUGGAUGCCGAGCCUUUGUAAAUCUCUUUCGACGAGUCGAGUAGUUUGGGAAUGCUGCUCUAAAUGGGAGGUAAAUUUCUUCUAAAGCUAAAUACUGGCCAGAGACCGAUAGCGCACAAGUAGAGUGAUCGAAAGAUGAAAAGCACUUUGAAAAGAGGGUUAAAUAGCACGUGAAAUUGUUGAAAGGGAAGGAUUUAUGACCAGACUUUUUCUAGGAGGAUCAUCCGGUGUUCUCACCGGUGCACUUCUUCUAGUCUAGGCCAGCAUCGACUUUCGGCGGCGGAUAAAAGCUUCAGGAAUGUGACUCCCUACGGGGAGUGUUAUAGCCUGUUGUAUAAUACGCUGCUGGGGGUCGAGGUACGCGCUUCUGCAAGGAUGCUGGCGUAAUGGUUAUCAAUCACCCGUCUUGAAACACGGACCAAGGAGUCGAACAUUUGUGCAAGUGUUUGGGUGUUAAACCCUCACGCGUAAUGAAAGUGAACGGAGGUGAGAGCCCUUACGGGUGCAUCAUCGACCGAUCCUGAUGUUUUCGGAUGGAUUUGAGUAAGAGCAUAACUGUUCGGACCCGAAAGAUGGUGAACUAUGCGUGGAUAGGGUGAAGCCAGAGGAAACUCUGGUGGAGGCUCGCAGCGGUUCUGACGUGCAAAUCGAUCGUCAAAUCUGCGCAUGGGG
RNAcentral lists this ribosomal RNA (828 nucleotides) under Broomella vitalbae. RNAcentral's name for it is "partial 28S ribosomal RNA". It matches the Rfam family "Eukaryotic large subunit ribosomal RNA", at positions 69 to 922 of the family's 3401-position model. The record is from RNAcentral. Lineage: Eukaryota; Fungi; Ascomycota; Sordariomycetes; Amphisphaeriales; Sporocadaceae.